Eubacterium sp. is the source of this 73-nucleotide transfer RNA. It matches the Rfam family "tRNA". From Rfam's summary of the family: Transfer RNA (tRNA) molecules are approximately 80 nucleotides in length. Lineage: Bacteria; Bacillati; Bacillota; Clostridia; Eubacteriales; Eubacteriaceae. The record is from Rfam.
GUGGGUAUAGUCAAGUGGUUAAGACAUAGGAUUGUGAUUCCUACAUGCGUGGGUUCGAUCCCCACUACCCACC